Molecule: ribosomal RNA, 496 nt
Filed under: uncultured bacterium
Lineage: Bacteria
Description: partial 16S ribosomal RNA
Rfam family: Bacterial small subunit ribosomal RNA
Source: RNAcentral
AUGAACGCUGGCGGCGUGCCUAAUACAUGCAAGUCGAGCGAACAGAUGAGGAGCUUGCUCCUCUGACGUUAGCGGCGGACGGGUGAGUAACACGUGGAUAACCUACCUAUAAGACUGGGAUAACUUCGGGAAACCGGAGCUAAUACCGGAUAAUAUAUUGAACCGCAUGGUUCAAUAGUGAAAGACGGUUUUGCUGUCACUUAUAGAUGGAUCCGCGCCGCAUUAGCUAGUUGGUAAGGUAACGGCUUACCAAGGCAACGAUGCGUAGCCGACCUGAGAGGGUGAUCGGCCACACUGGAACUGAGACACGGUCCAGACUCCUACGGGAGGCAGCAGUACGGAAUAUUCCGCAAUGGGCGAAAGCCUGCCGGAGCAACGCCGCGUGAGUGAUGAAGGUCUUCGGAUCUUAAAACUCUGUUAUUAGGGAAGACCAAAUGUGUAAGUAACUAUGCACGUCUUGACGGUACCUAAUCAGAAAGCCACGGCUAACUACGUG